RNAcentral lists this ribosomal RNA (498 nucleotides) under Cladosporium cladosporioides. RNAcentral's name for it is "eukaryotic LSU rRNA". The stretch from base 172 to 325 matches the Rfam family "5.8S ribosomal RNA". Lineage: Eukaryota; Fungi; Ascomycota; Dothideomycetes; Cladosporiales; Cladosporiaceae. The record is from RNAcentral.
CUGCGGAGGGAUCAUUACAAGUGACCCCGGCUACGGCCGGGAUGUUCAUAACCCUUUGUUGUCCGACUCUGUUGCCUCCGGGGCGACCCUGCCUUCGGGCGGGGGCUCCGGGUGGACACUUCAAACUCUUGCGUAACUUUGCAGUCUGAGUAAACUUAAUUAAUAAAUUAAAACUUUUAACAACGGAUCUCUUGGUUCUGGCAUCGAUGAAGAACGCAGCGAAAUGCGAUAAGUAAUGUGAAUUGCAGAAUUCAGUGAAUCAUCGAAUCUUUGAACGCACAUUGCGCCCCCUGGUAUUCCGGGGGGCAUGCCUGUUCGAGCGUCAUUUCACCACUCAAGCCUCGCUUGGUAUUGGGCAACGCGGUCCGCCGCGUGCCUCAAAUCGUCCGGCUGGGUCUUCUGUCCCCUAAGCGUUGUGGAAACUAUUCGCUAAAGGGUGUUCGGGAGGCUACGCCGUAAAACAACCCCAUUUCUAAGGUUGACCUCGGAUCAGGUAGG